GACGAACGCUGGCGGCGUGCUUAACACAUGCAAGUCGAGCGGUAAGGCCCUUUCGGGGUACACGAGCGGCGAACGGGUGAGUAACACGUGGGUGACCUGCCCUCAGCUCUGGGAUAAGCCCGGGAAACUGGGUCUAAUACCGGAUAUGACUCCACGGUGCAUGUCGUGGGGUGGAAAGCCUUGUGCGGCUGAGGAUGGGCCCGCGGCCUAUCAGCUUGUUGGUGGGGUGAUGGCCACCAAGGCGACGACGGGUAGCCGGCCUGAGAGGGCGACCGGCCACACUGGGACUGAGACACGGCCCAGACUCCUACGGGAGGCAGCAGUGGGGAAUCUUGCGCAAUGGGCGAAAGCCUGACGCA
Molecule: ribosomal RNA, 359 nt
Filed under: uncultured bacterium
Lineage: Bacteria
Description: bacterial SSU rRNA
Rfam family: Bacterial small subunit ribosomal RNA
Source: RNAcentral